GAUAAAGAUGUAUCUGUACAAAGUUAGGGAUAGUUUCUGUUAUAAAAGGUGCAGAUCCAUCAACAUAAGUCCAUAUACAAGGAGUGUUAAUCCAUGCAUCUCCAUCAAAUAUUACAGAAAGGCCAAUGUUUGGACAAGGUGGCUAAUGAUUGAAUCUUAGUAUUAACAUAUCUCAAUAUUGUACAGAAGUUUAAACCUACUUUGUGAGAAUAGUUGGGAAAAAAACUAUUUUAUACUUAGGUAAUUAGCAUCAAUCCAUAGGUAAUUAUCAUCCACGAUUUGGACCAGUAAUUGGUAAUUCAAAACACACAGAAACAAGAAGUGGAAGACGGUUUCAGAUCAUAGUGUGAUAGCUGAUAAAGAUGCAUCUGUACAAAGUUAGGGAUAGUUUCUGUUAUAAAAGGUGCAGAUCCAUCAAUAUAAGUCCAUAUACAAGGAGUGUACAGAUCUGUGCAUCUCCAUCAAAUAUUACAGAAAGGCCAAUGUUUGGACAAGGUGGCUAAUGAUUGAAUCUUAGUAUUAACGUAUCUCAAUAUUGUACAGAAGUUUAAACCUACUUUGUGAGAAUAGUUGGGAAAAAAAACUAUUUUAUACUUGGGCUAGCCAAUAUCAGCAGGUAGAGAACUUAC
RNAcentral lists this long non-coding RNA (629 nucleotides) under Setaria italica (foxtail millet). Its description in RNAcentral is "long non-coding RNA (SITA_LNC007325)". Lineage: Eukaryota; Viridiplantae; Streptophyta; Magnoliopsida; Poales; Poaceae. The record is from RNAcentral.